Molecule: non-coding RNA, 45 nt
Filed under: Schistosoma mattheei
Lineage: Eukaryota; Metazoa; Platyhelminthes; Trematoda; Strigeidida; Schistosomatidae
Source: RNAcentral
AUCUAACUGACAAGUCCCAAAUAGAGUGAAGCAUGCGUCCUAGAU